GAGCGAGCGGGAAGAGCUCAAAUUUAUAAUCUGGCACCUUCGGUGUCCGAGUUGUAAUCUCUAGAAAUGUUUUCCGCGUUGGACCGCACACAAGUCUGUUGGAAUACAGCGGCAUAGUGGUGAGACCCCCGUAUAUGGUGCGGACGCCCAGCGCUUUGUGAUACAUUUUCGAAGAGUCGAGUUGUUUGGGAAUGCAGCUCAAAUUGGGUGGUAAAUUCCAUCUAAAGCUAAAUAUUGGCGAGAGACCGAUAGCGAACAAGUACCGUGAGGGAAAGAUGAAAAGCACUUUGGAAAGAGAGUUAACAGUACGUGAAAUUGUUGGAAGGGAAACGCUUGAAGUCAGACUUGCUUGCCGAGCAAUCGGUUUGCAGGCCAGCAUCAGUUUUCCGGGAUGGAUAAUGGUAGAGAGAAGGUAGCAGUUUCGGCUGUGUUAUAGCUCUCUGCUGGAUACAUCUUGGGGGACUGAGGAACGCAGUGUGCCUUUGGCGGGGGUUUCGACCUCUUCACACUUAGGAUGCUGGUGGAAUGGCUUUAAACGACCCGUCUUGAA
This 550-nucleotide ribosomal RNA is filed under the name Rhodotorula mucilaginosa. RNAcentral describes it as "eukaryotic LSU rRNA". It matches the Rfam family "Eukaryotic large subunit ribosomal RNA", at positions 91 to 658 of the family's 3401-position model. The record is from RNAcentral. Lineage: Eukaryota; Fungi; Basidiomycota; Microbotryomycetes; Sporidiobolales; Sporidiobolaceae.